Molecule: ribosomal RNA, 253 nt
Filed under: uncultured bacterium
Lineage: Bacteria
Description: partial 16S ribosomal RNA
Rfam family: Bacterial small subunit ribosomal RNA
Source: RNAcentral
UACGUAGGUGGCAAGCGUUGUCCGGAAUCACUGGGCGUAAAGCGCACGUAGGCGGACUCGUAGGUCAAUUGUGAAAUACCUGGGCUCAACCUGGGAACUGCAGUUGAAACCACUUGUCUUGAAUACCUGAGAGGGUGGGGGAAUACCUGGUGGAGAAGUGAAAUUCGUAGAGAUCAGGUGGAACACCGGAGGCGAAGGCGCCUGCCUGGCAGUGUAUUGACGCUGAGGUGCGAAAGUGCGGGGAGCAAACAGG